RNAcentral lists this ribosomal RNA (518 nucleotides) under uncultured bacterium. Its description in RNAcentral is "bacterial SSU rRNA". It matches the Rfam family "Bacterial small subunit ribosomal RNA", at positions 73 to 623 of the family's 1533-position model. The record is from RNAcentral.
AGUGGAGCAAUCCAUGAGUACAGUGGCGACCGGGUGAGUAACACGUGACCAACCUACCCUCGAGUGGGGAAUAACUCCGGGAAACCGGAGCUAAUACCGCAUAACAUCGCAAGAUCAAAGCCGCAAGGCGCUUGAGGAGGGGGUCGCGGCUGAUUAGCUAGUUGGUAGGGUAAUGGCCUACCAAGGCGAAGAUCGGUAGCCGGCCUGAGAGGGCGCACGGCCACACUGGAACUGAAACACGGUCCAGACUCCUACGGGAGGCAGCAGUGGUGAAUUUUGCGCAAUGGGGGAAACCCUGACGCAGCAACGCCGCGUGGAGGAUGAAGUCCCUUGGGACGUAAACUCCUUUCGACCGGGACGAUACUGACGGUACCGGAAGAAGAAGCACCGGCUAACUCUGUGCCAGCAGCCGCGGUAAUACAGAGGGUGCGAGCGUUGUUCGGAAUUAUUGGGCGUAAAGGGCGCGUANGCGGCGCGGUAAGUCACCUGUGAAAUCUCCUGGCUCAACUGGGAGCUUG